CUUCCUUCUCCCCCUCUCUGAAAGCAUGUACAUCAGUGAGUCUUAAGGGAGCAAUCACACUUGUUCACAAUGAAGGAAUUUGAUCUCCUGGUAAUUAUAGAUGGAAAAUCACAACAUUGGGAAUGUCUUCAUUUGAACAGAGGGGGAUUCCUGCCAAGACUUGGAUUGUCUUGGAAGAAGGAGAGUGCUGUCAGGAUCACAGGAUGCCAAGCCGGAAAAUUCGGGGGCCAGAUCCUGUGGCUGGAGAAAGCGGGUGCAAUGCCACUGACUUCAGCAGAGCUCUGACUUGUGUCAGCUGAGGAUGCAGCUCCUGUGGAACUGUGCUGGGAUCCUGAGAAAUGCUGCGGGGUGAAAGCUUGCCUUUCAAAACACAGCAGAUGACGUCUGAAACCCAGUAUUCUGUUUAAUAUCAUGUACAAUUCCUCUCCACCAGCUCUGUGUAGUCUGGCCCUUCAGUCCGAGUGACAUCUGGUGUCAAUAAUUGUUUUUUACUUUUUAGUAGUUUUGUUAAAGGCAAAUAACUUUCACAUAGGGCUAAUGGAGGAGCUACCAUCUUAGCUGAUGGAUGUGUCGUGCAGCCCAAAGCUGAAGAGAGUGAAUCGCAAAAGUGAUCAUGGACUACAGCUCUGCACCUCCAACAGGGCCUCUCAUCUUGCAACUCUCAGUACUUUUCUACCCCCCGCCCCAGCAAAAACUUGUCCAGAAGCUGGUCUGAGAUGGAUGUAAGACCAUCUGGUGACCAGUGCGUCAAUCAAUGAGAUCAGCCCUGGCUUCUCCUGCCCAGGUGGCUGCCACCAGCUCUGCCCAGCUGCAUCAGCUUACCCAGUGGAGGGGAUUUGAAUGGACCCGAUGCCAAAGUCUGGAAUAAUUCUUCAAUUGUGCUUACACUGGAGUCAUUUAUUUUGGUGCCAGAACCUGGAACAGGAGUAGCUGUUGGAUUUCUCGUUCCCUCCUUGGUCCAGGAGCCUGUGCAAGACUGUUUCCAUCACGAUCAUCAGAUACCAGCGCUCUCUAAUGUAUCAGGAAGAAAAGUCCAAGUUCCACUGAGUGGAAGUUCUUGUGAAAUGUAGAGUCAGAAACAUGGGAGCGACCUUAUUGAAGCAGACCAUUUAGUUUCAGUCUAAACACCAGAGCGGGGAGAAAAUGGCAAGCAGAAAUACCAAAUCAUACGGCAGGAGCCAUUGCCUGAAUUGAGAGGGAGGAGCAGUCCCAGUUGCCGAGGCUCAGCACCCCAUGGCAGAGGGAGCACUCGGCGGAUCAAGAGUUU
Long non-coding RNA from Haliaeetus leucocephalus (bald eagle), 1267 nucleotides. RefSeq lists it as uncharacterized. The transcript has 4 exons. NCBI's taxonomy places the organism in Eukaryota, Metazoa, Chordata, Aves, Accipitriformes, Accipitridae. The record is from RefSeq and is a predicted model, not a curated record.